AUGAACGCUGGCGGCGUGCCUAAUACAUGCAAGUCGCGCGAACGGACGAGAAGCUUGCUUCUCUGAUGUUAGCGGCGGACGGGUGAGUAACACGUGGAUAACCUACCUAUAAGACUGGGAUAACUUCGGGAAACCGGAGCUAAUACCGGAUGAUAUUUUGAACCGCAUGGUUCAAAAGUGAAAGACGGUCUUGCUGUCACUUAUAGAUGGAUCCGCGCUGCAUUAGUUAGUUGGUAAGGUAACGGCUUACCAAGGCAACGAUGCAUAGCCGACCUGAGAGGGUGAUCGGCCACACUGGAACUGAGACACGGUCCAGACUCCUACGGGAGGCAGCAGUAGGGAAUCUUCCGCAAUGGGCGAAAGCCUGACGGAGCAACGCCGCGUGAGUGAUGAAGGUCUUCGGAUCGUAAAACUCUGUUAUUAGGGAAGAACAUAUGUGUAAGUAACUGUGCACAUCUUGACGGUACCUAAUCAGAAAGCCACGGCUAACUACGUG
RNAcentral lists this ribosomal RNA (496 nucleotides) under uncultured bacterium. RNAcentral's name for it is "partial 16S ribosomal RNA". It matches the Rfam family "Bacterial small subunit ribosomal RNA", at positions 29 to 507 of the family's 1533-position model. The record is from RNAcentral.